UGUUUUAUUUCGCUAUAUAAAAUACAAUCUGCCCGGUGAUCUAGAAUUUAACGGCCGCAGUAAUUUGACUGUGCUAAGGUAGCAUAAUAGCUUGUCUCUUAAUUAGAGUCUGGAAUGAAAGAUAAAAUAAAUUCUAACUUUCCUUCUUUAAUAAAUUUAACUUUAUUACUGAGUAAAAAGGCUUAAAUGCUUAAAAAAGACGAUAAGACCCUGUGAAAUUUCAUUAAUAUAAAAUUAUGCUUGUUCCUUUAUAGAAAAACAAAUAUAAUUUUCAAAUAAUUUAGUUGGGGCGACUUUAAUUUAAACAUAAACAAUUAAAAUACUUAAUAAAUAAAUUUAAAUUUACACAGAACCUAAGUAAAGGUAAAUUGACUAAAUUACUCCAGGGAUAACAGCGUAAUUUUUUUGGAGAGUCCUUAUCAAUAAAAAAGUUUACGACCUCGAUGUUGGAUAAAGAAAUCUUGCUAGGGCAGCCCCUAGCAAAGUAAGUCUGUUCGACUUUUAAAAACUU
RNAcentral lists this ribosomal RNA (511 nucleotides) under Pilbaranella sp. A GP-2018. RNAcentral's name for it is "partial 16S ribosomal RNA". It matches the Rfam family "Bacterial large subunit ribosomal RNA", at positions 1829 to 2597 of the family's 2925-position model. Lineage: Eukaryota; Metazoa; Arthropoda; Malacostraca; Bathynellacea; Bathynellidae. The record is from RNAcentral.